UGAUGGCAAAACUUCACCUCGCGCCGACCCGUGGUCCUAGGGUCGGGAGCGCCCGACCUCACCGUGAGACUCCGCCUCGCCCGACCCGCGGUCCCAGGGUCGGGAGCGCCCGACCCCUCGCCACAAGACUCCGCCUCGGCCGACCCCGGGCGUAGGGGGUCGGACUCAUCUAGGCCCACAAGAUAAGUAUCUGCCUUGGGCGCAGAUCGGC
RNAcentral lists this long non-coding RNA (211 nucleotides) under Setaria viridis. RNAcentral's name for it is "long non-coding RNA (SVIR_LNC005494)". The record is from RNAcentral. Lineage: Eukaryota; Viridiplantae; Streptophyta; Magnoliopsida; Poales; Poaceae.